RNAcentral lists this transfer RNA (75 nucleotides) under Paenibacillus sp. PvP091. RNAcentral's name for it is "tRNA-Thr". It matches the Rfam family "tRNA". From Rfam's summary of the family: Transfer RNA (tRNA) molecules are approximately 80 nucleotides in length. Their secondary structure includes four short double-helical elements and three loops (D, anti-codon, and T loops). Lineage: Bacteria; Bacillati; Bacillota; Bacilli; Caryophanales; Paenibacillaceae. RNAcentral also lists the same sequence under 6 other names. The record is from RNAcentral.
GCCGUCGUAGCUCAGAGGCAGAGCAACGCACUCGUAAUGCGUAGGUCGGAGGUUCGACUACUCUCGACGGCACCA